CCUUUCUUUGCUGGGAAGCUUUUGGUUAAUCCUCCAUUGAUUAGUAUGGAGUAGCUUGCCGUAGAUACACAUUCCAGGAUUAGGGUCACCAUUUUGUAGGGUAGGCCCAAUUCCACCAUUACUGCCCAAUUCCCCUAUGGUGGAAUAGGAUAUCCCUUAAUUUCUGUGCUCCAAAUUGUCUGGACAGAUGUUCUGUAUUCUGGU
This 204-nucleotide long non-coding RNA is filed under the name Nicotiana benthamiana. Its description in RNAcentral is "long non-coding RNA (NBEN_LNC025018)". The record is from RNAcentral. Lineage: Eukaryota; Viridiplantae; Streptophyta; Magnoliopsida; Solanales; Solanaceae.